CAGGUCUGUAGCAAUACAGAUGCUGGCGACCGGCAAACGGGUGCGGAACACGUACACAACCUUCCUUUAAGUGGGGAAUAGCCCAGGGAAACUUGGAUUAAUACCCCGUAACAUAUAGAAGAGGCAUCUCUUUCAUAUUAUAGCUACGGCGCUUGAAGAUGGGUGUGCGGCUGAUUAGGUAGUUGGCGGGGUAACGGCCCACCAAGCCUACGAUCAGUAACUGGUGUGAGAGCACGACCAGUCACACGGGCACUGAGACACGGGCCCGACUCCUACGGGAGGCAGCAGUAAGGAAUAUUGGUCAAUGGACGCAAGUCUGAACCAGCCAUGCCGCGUGGAGGAUGAAGGUCCUCUGGAUUGUAAACUUCUUUUAUCUGGGACGAAAAAAGGGAAUUCUUUCUCACUUGACGGUACCAGAUGAAUAAGCACCGGCUAACUCCGUGCCAGCAGCCGCGGUAAUACGGAGGGUGCAAGCGUUAUCCGGAUUCACUGGGUUUAAAGGGUGCGUAGGUGGGCUUGUAAGUCAGUGGUGAAAUCUCCGGGCUUAACUCGGAAACUGCCAUUGAUACUAUAAGUCUUGAAUACCAUGGAGGUGAGCGGAAUAUGUCAUGUAGCGGUGAAAUGCUUAGAUAUGACAUAGAACACCAAUUGCGAAGGCAGCUCGCUACGCGGUUAUUGACACUGAGGCACGAAAGCGUGGGGAUCAAACAGGAUUAGAUACCCUGGUAGUCCACGCCCUAAACGAUGGAUACUCGACAUCAGCGAUACACUGUUGGUGUCUGAGCGAAAGCAUUAAGUAUCCCACCUGGGAAGUACGACCGCAAGGUUG
RNAcentral lists this ribosomal RNA (829 nucleotides) under uncultured Flavobacteriales bacterium. RNAcentral's name for it is "bacterial SSU rRNA". It matches the Rfam family "Bacterial small subunit ribosomal RNA", at positions 70 to 896 of the family's 1533-position model. The record is from RNAcentral. Lineage: Bacteria; Pseudomonadati; Bacteroidota; Flavobacteriia; Flavobacteriales.